This 456-nucleotide ribosomal RNA is filed under the name Huitaca sp. 1 LRB-2018. RNAcentral's name for it is "partial 16S ribosomal RNA". The record is from RNAcentral. Lineage: Eukaryota; Metazoa; Arthropoda; Arachnida; Opiliones; Neogoveidae.
UUCCUUUAGAAAAAAUUAUAGGUAAAACCUGCUCCAUGAAAAAUAAAUAGCUGCAGGAGACUGUACUAAGGUAGCAUAAUCAUUUGUUUUUUAAUUGAAGACUAGAAUGAAGGGUUAAACGAAUUUUAAAAAAUUCUGUUUAAAAAGAUUGAAGUUAAUUUCUAUAUAAAAAAGUUUAGAUAGAAUUUAGGGACGAGAAGACCCUAAAAAGCUUAUAAGAAUUUUUAUAUUAUAUUAGAAUUCUAAUUUAGUUGGGGCAACUUAAUAAGAAAAGAAUCUUGAUUUUAAAUGAUCCAAAAUUUUUGAUUAAAAAUAAAGUUACUUUAGGGAUAACAGCAUAAUAAAACUAUUCAAGAUCAAAUUGAUUAGUUUGUUUGUGACCUCGAUGUUGGAUUAAUUUUCCUGAAAGAGGAAUAAUAUUUUUAAGGUCGUCUGUUCGACGAAUAAUCUAUUACA